This 580-nucleotide long non-coding RNA is filed under the name Sarcophilus harrisii (Tasmanian devil). RNAcentral describes it as "lncRNA (ENSSHAG00000020710.1)". The record is from RNAcentral. Lineage: Eukaryota; Metazoa; Chordata; Mammalia; Dasyuromorphia; Dasyuridae.
AGGGAACCAAGGGGAGGUCCAACUCCGUGAACUCAAUUGAAGAGAACAGAGAGCUGAUAUCUCAAGAUUCCCGGCCCGCUGCAGGCGCGGCGGAACAUAUCCCAAAGCUCCCGUCCAAUUAUCUGUACUGUGAAGCCUCCAGCUAGACCUGCAGAAAUGCUGGAAAAUUCAGUCCUGUCGUGGGGGAAAUUUUUGGCGGCUUGGCUCCCUCAAGAGAAGUCCGCUUCCCAAGUACCCUAGCUUAAUUCUAGCUAAAUAGAUGUAUUCUAGGGGGGAAAAAUAAUAAAGAUAUGCACGAAUUAUCCGAAGGUAACAAAGUCGGAGAAUUCGAUGCGACUUGCACGUAUCUGUUUGGAAGAAAGUGGUGAGAUCUAGGCUCCUCCGCCACUAGGAGAAAAUUGAAGAAGGGGAGCAACUUCAAAGUCAGGGAACCGGAGCCUUCUUGGUCACCCUCUGCCUCAGCCUUUAAAUCCGACAGCCUUUGGUUGGAGUCCCAGUCCCAGGAGAAGAAAGUUCACCGGAUACAGGGGACUGUGAGACAGGAGAAUCUUAAGAAAGAUGGCUCAAUUCCUGUUUGAUC